RNAcentral lists this ribosomal RNA (440 nucleotides) under uncultured bacterium. Its description in RNAcentral is "partial 16S ribosomal RNA". It matches the Rfam family "Bacterial small subunit ribosomal RNA", at positions 338 to 795 of the family's 1533-position model. The record is from RNAcentral.
CCUACGGGAGGCUGCAGUGGGGAAUAUUGCACAAUGGGGGAAACCCUGAUGCAGCGACGCCGCGUGAGUGAAGAAGUAAUUCGUUAUGUAAAGCUCUAUCAGCAGGGAAGAAAAUGACGGUACCUGAGUAAGAAGCCCCGGCUAACUACGUGCCAGCAGCCGCGGUAAUACGUAGGGGGCAAGCAUUAUCCGGAUUUACUGGGUGUAAAGGGAGCGUAGACGGCAGUGCAAGUCCGGAGUGAAAGCCCGGGGCUCAACCCUGGGACUGCUCUGGAAACUGUAAAGCUGGAGUGCGGGAGGGGCAGGCGGAAUUCCUGGUGUAGCGGUGAAAUGCGUAGAUAUCAGGAGGAACACCGGCGGCGAAGGCGGCCUGCUGGACCGUAACUGACGUUGAGGCUCGAAAGCGUGGGGAGCAAACAGGAUUAGAUACCCUGGUAGUC